CCCAGCUCCUACGGGAGGCAGCAGUGGGGAAUAUUGCACAAUGGGCGCAAGCCUGAUGCAGCCAUGCCGCGUGUGUGAAGAAGGCCUUCGGGUUGUAAAGCACUUUCAGCGGGGAGGAAGGCAAUAAGGUUAAUAACCUUGUUGAUUGACGUUACCCGCAGAAGAAGCACCGGCUAACUCCGUGCCAGCAGCCGCGGUAAUACGGAGGGUGCAAGCGUUAAUCGGAAUUACUGGGCGUAAAGCGCACGCAGGCGGUCUGUCAAGUCGGAUGUGAAAUCCCCGGGCUCAACCUGGGAACUGCAUUCGAAACUGGCAGGCUAGAGUCUUGUAGAGGGGGGUAGAAUUCCAGGUGUAGCGGUGAAAUGCGUAGAGAUCUGGAGGAAUACCGGUGGCGAAGGCGGCCCCCUGGACAAAGACUGACGCUCAGGUGCGAAAGCGUGGGGAGCAAACAGGAUUAGAUACCCCUGUAU
Molecule: ribosomal RNA, 470 nt
Filed under: uncultured bacterium
Lineage: Bacteria
Description: bacterial SSU rRNA
Rfam family: Bacterial small subunit ribosomal RNA
Source: RNAcentral